Non-coding RNA from Triticum aestivum (bread wheat), 115 nucleotides. The record is from Rfam. NCBI's taxonomy places the organism in Eukaryota, Viridiplantae, Streptophyta, Magnoliopsida, Poales, Poaceae.
AAUAUACUUCCUCCGUUAGGAAUUACUUGUCGUAGAAAUGGAUGUAUCUAGAUGUAUUUUAGUUCUAGAUACAUCAAUUUUCGAGACAAUUAAUUCCGAACGGAGGGAGUAUAAG